GACGAACGCUGGCGGCGUGCUUAACACAUGCAAGUCGAACGGAAAGGCCCUUCUGGGUUCUCGAGUGGGGAACGGGAGAGUGACAGGAGGGUGUUCUGAACCGCCCUUUGGGAUAAGCAUGGCUACCUGGGACUAAUACCGAAUACGAUCAGCGGCUCCAUGGUCGUUGGUGGAGUGCUAUUGCGGUGUGGGAUGGGCCCGCGGCCUCGCAGUUUGUUGGUGGGGUAAUGGCCUACCAAGGCGACGACGGGUAGCCGGCCUGAGAGGGUGACCGGCCACACUGGGACUGAGGUACGGCCCCGGCUCCUAAGGGAGGCAGCAGUGGGGAAUAUUGCACAAUGGGCGCAAGCCUGAUGCAGCGACGCCGCGUGGGGGAUGACGGCCUUCGGGUUUGAAACCUCUUUCAGCAUAGACGAAGGGCAAGUGGCGGUAAGUGCAGAAGGAGGACCGGCCAACUACGUG
This 462-nucleotide ribosomal RNA is filed under the name uncultured bacterium. RNAcentral's name for it is "partial 16S ribosomal RNA". It matches the Rfam family "Bacterial small subunit ribosomal RNA", at positions 28 to 507 of the family's 1533-position model. The record is from RNAcentral.